RNAcentral lists this ribosomal RNA (253 nucleotides) under uncultured bacterium. RNAcentral describes it as "partial 16S ribosomal RNA". It matches the Rfam family "Bacterial small subunit ribosomal RNA", at positions 524 to 776 of the family's 1533-position model. The record is from RNAcentral.
UACGUAGGGCGCAAGCGUUGUCCGGAAUCAUUGGGCGUAAAGAGCGUGUAGGCGGCCCGGUAAGUCCGCUGUGAAAGUCGGGGGCUCAACCCUCGGAUGCCGGUGGAUACUGUCGGGCUCGAGUACGGAAGAGGCGAGUGGAAUUCCUGGUGUAGCGGUGAAAUGCGCAGAUAUCAGGAGGAACACCUAUUGCGAAGGCAGCUCGCUGGGACGUUACUGACGCUGAGACGCGAAAGCGUGGGGAGCAAACAGG